AUUGACCCUUUCCUUUAGCUUCUGUGGCUUCUGUGUCGCAUGUGUGUCAGUAGGUGCCAGAGAAGAGGGAGACUAUGCCUAUACUCAGGGUCUUGGCCUAUAAACAUCUGAAUAAUUAGUAACCUAAAUU
Molecule: small nucleolar RNA, 130 nt
Organism: Mastomys coucha (southern multimammate mouse)
Lineage: Eukaryota; Metazoa; Chordata; Mammalia; Rodentia; Muridae
Product: small nucleolar RNA SNORA17
Exons: 1
Source: RefSeq, a predicted model, not a curated record